CCCUUCAGGUCAGAAACUGCUAUGACUUGUUUAGCAAGCUGUUUACGUGACAGUAUAGAAUACUCAAGCUAUGCAUGCAACGCGUUGGGAGCUCUCCCAUAUGGUCGACGGGCAGGCGGCCGUGAAUUCAGUAGUGAUUGGCGCGCCGCGCCGCGCGCCCGGCCGGCCGCGCCCGCCAUGCAUGCCGUGUGUGUGAAGAAGUCCUUCGGGUUGUCAAGCACUUUAAGCAGGGAAGAAAAGCGGAUGGUUCAUAACCAUCGCCCUGACAUUACCCGCAGAAGAAGCACUGACUAACUCUGUGCCAGCAGCCGUGGUAAAAAAGAGGGUCCAAUUUUUAAUCGGAAUUACUGGGAGUAAAGCGCGAGUAGGCGGUUUGACAAGUUGGGUGUGAAAUCCCCGGGCUUAACGUGGGAACUUCAUUCAAAACUUUUAAACUGGAGUACGGGAGAGGAGAGUAGAAUUCAUGGAGUAGCGGUGAAAUGCGUAGAUAUCAUGAGGAAUCCCAAUGGCGAAGGCAACUCUCUGGACCGUAACUGACGAUGAGGUGCGAAAGCGUGGGUAGCAAACAGGAUUAGAUACCCUGGUAGUCCACGCCGUAAACGAUGACAACUAGCCGUUGGACUUUCUAGUUCAGUGGCACAGCUAACGCAUUAAGUCGACCGCCUGGUGAUUGUCGAAUUCCCGCGGCCGCCAUGGCGGCCGGGAGCAUGCGACGUCUGCGCUCUACGAAACAU
RNAcentral lists this ribosomal RNA (734 nucleotides) under uncultured Gammaproteobacteria bacterium. RNAcentral's name for it is "bacterial SSU rRNA". The stretch from base 101 to 681 matches the Rfam family "Bacterial small subunit ribosomal RNA". Lineage: Bacteria; Pseudomonadati; Pseudomonadota; Gammaproteobacteria. The record is from RNAcentral.